GAGGCCUUAUCUUAAUUAAAGUGUCUGAGUUGCAUUCAGGAGAUGUAGUGUAUAGUUACAGGUCUU
Molecule: transfer RNA, 66 nt
Filed under: Hemidactylus platyurus (flat-tailed house gecko)
Lineage: Eukaryota; Metazoa; Chordata; Lepidosauria; Squamata; Gekkonidae
Description: tRNA-Ala
Source: RNAcentral